UCAGUUUUCCUUUUUUUUACA
This 21-nucleotide non-coding RNA is filed under the name Caenorhabditis elegans. Lineage: Eukaryota; Metazoa; Nematoda; Chromadorea; Rhabditida; Rhabditidae. The record is from RNAcentral.